RNAcentral lists this ribosomal RNA (497 nucleotides) under uncultured bacterium. RNAcentral's name for it is "partial 16S ribosomal RNA". It matches the Rfam family "Bacterial small subunit ribosomal RNA", at positions 28 to 507 of the family's 1533-position model. The record is from RNAcentral.
GAUGAACGCUGGCGGCGUGCCUAAUACAUGCCAGUCGAGCGAACAGACGAGGAUCUUGCUCCUCUGACGUUAGCGGCGGACGGGUGAGUAACACGUGGAUAACCUACCUAUAAGACUGGGAUAACUUCGGGAAACCGGAGCUCAUACCGGAUCAUAUAUUGAACCGCAUGGUUCAAUAGUGAAAGACGGUUUUGCUGUCACUUAUAGAUGGAUCCGCGCCGCAUUAGCUAGUUGGUAAGGUAACGGCUUACCAAGGCAACGAUGCGUAGCCGACCUGAGAGGGUGAUCGGCCACACUGGAACUGAGACACGGUCCAGACUCCUACGGGAGGCAGCAGUAGGGAAUCUUCCGCAAUGGGCGAAAGCCUGACGGAGCAACGCCGCGUGAGUGAUGAAGGUCUUCGGAUCGUAAAACUCUGUUAGUAGGGAAGAACAAAUGUGUAAGUAACUAUGCACGUCUUGACGGUACCUAAUCAGAAAGCCACGGCUAACUACGUG